RNAcentral lists this ribosomal RNA (280 nucleotides) under Salmonella enterica subsp. salamae serovar 42:b:1,5. RNAcentral's name for it is "partial 16S ribosomal RNA". It matches the Rfam family "Bacterial small subunit ribosomal RNA", at positions 155 to 437 of the family's 1533-position model. The record is from RNAcentral. Lineage: Bacteria; Pseudomonadati; Pseudomonadota; Gammaproteobacteria; Enterobacterales; Enterobacteriaceae.
AACGGUGGCUAAUACCGCAUAACGUCGCAAGACCAAAGAGGGGGACCUUCGGGCCUCUUGCCAUCAGAUGUGCCCAGAUGGGAUUAGCUUGUUGGUGAGGUAACGGCUCACCAAGGCGACGAUCCCUAGCUGGUCUGAGAGGAUGACCAGCCACACUGGAACUGAGACACGGUCCAGACUCCUACGGGAGGCAGCAGUGGGGAAUAUUGCACAAUGGGCGCAAGCCUGAUGCAGCCAUGCCGCGUGUAUGAAGAAGGCCUUCGGGUUGUAAAGUACUUUC